This 426-nucleotide ribosomal RNA is filed under the name uncultured bacterium. RNAcentral's name for it is "partial 16S ribosomal RNA". It matches the Rfam family "Bacterial small subunit ribosomal RNA", at positions 354 to 796 of the family's 1533-position model. The record is from RNAcentral.
GUGAGGAAUUUUCCGCAAUGGGCGAAAGCCUGACGGAGCAAUGCCGCGUGAAGGAUGAAGGCCUAUGGGUUGUAAACUUCUUUUCUCAGAAAAGAAUUAUGACGGUAUCUGAGGAAUAAGCAUCGGCUAACUCUGUGCCAGCAGCCGCGGUAAGACAGAGGAUGCAAGCGUUAUCCGGAAUGAUUGGGCGUAAAGCGUCUGUAGGUUGUUUAAAAAGUAUUCUGUCAAAGAUUAGGGCUUAACCUUAGAUAGGCAGAAUAAACUUUUAAGCUAGAGUUUGGUAGAGGCAGAGGGAAUUCCCGGUGGAGCGGUGAAAUGCGUAGAUAUCGGGAGGAACACCAAAGGCGAAGGCACUCUGCUGGGCCAAUACUAACACUGAGAGACGAAAGCGAGGGGAGCAAAUGGGAUUAGAAACCCCAGUAGUCC